This 253-nucleotide ribosomal RNA is filed under the name uncultured bacterium. Its description in RNAcentral is "partial 16S ribosomal RNA". It matches the Rfam family "Bacterial small subunit ribosomal RNA", at positions 524 to 776 of the family's 1533-position model. The record is from RNAcentral.
GACGUAGGGGGCGAGCGUUGUCCGGAUUUACUGGGCGUAAAGCGCACGUAGGCGGCUCUUUAAGUCAGGGGUGAAAUCCUGGAGCUCAACUCCAGAACUGCCUUUGAUACUGAGGACCUUGAGUUCGGGAGAGGUGAGUGGAACUGCGAGUGUAGAGGUGAAAUUCGUAGAUAUUCGCAAGAACACCAGUGGCGAAGGCGGCUCACUGGCCCGAUACUGACGCUGAGGUGCGAAAGCCAGGGGAGCAAACGGG